This 333-nucleotide ribosomal RNA is filed under the name uncultured Glomeromycotina. RNAcentral's name for it is "eukaryotic LSU rRNA". Lineage: Eukaryota; Fungi; Glomeromycota. The record is from RNAcentral.
CAGUCGUACCGACGAAAAUUCAACUUCUCGGGUGCCAAUCGUGGGUGACGUUGAGCCUCACGGUCUUCGUUGCUUGUGUUUGUUGGUGCCUUUGGGGUGUACUUUUUCGUAUGGUAGGUCAACAUCGAUUUUGAUCGUCAUAAAAUGAUCGGAGGAAUGUAGCUUUGAUUUCGAUCGAAGUGUUAUAGCCUUUGGUAGAUGUGACGAUUGGGAUCGAGGAUUGCAACGAAUACCCUUUUGGGCUAUCCGUCUGACCUCUGAAAGUCGCUUGGGAGUCGAAAGCUUGCUUAUGACUAUUCAAGUUGGCGGUCAACAGGUUAGAACGCGAUUACA